RNAcentral lists this ribosomal RNA (404 nucleotides) under Rhipicephalus sanguineus (brown dog tick). Its description in RNAcentral is "partial 16S ribosomal RNA". The record is from RNAcentral. Lineage: Eukaryota; Metazoa; Arthropoda; Arachnida; Ixodida; Ixodidae.
UAAAUUGCUGUGGUAUUUUGACUAUACAAAGGUAUUGAAAUAAGAUUUUAAUUGAAUGCUAAGAGAAUGGAAUUUCAGAAAAAAACUUUUUUCAAGUUAAAAAUUGAAAUUUUUUUAAUUUGUGCAGAAACAAUUAUUAAUAUUAAGGACAAGAAGACCCUAUGAAUUUAUAAAUUUUAUUUAAUAUGUAACUACUAUUGAAAAAAUUUUAGCUGGGGCGGCGGAAAAAUAUUUAAAACUUUUUUAAAAUAAAAUGACCCAUUAUUAAUGAUUAUAUGUUAAAUACUCUAGGGAUAACAGCGUUAUAUUUUUUGAUAGAUCAUAUUGACAAAAAAGUUUGCGACCUCGAUGUUGGAUUAGGAUACUUUUUUAAUGCAGAUAUUAAAAAAAGAAGUUUGUUCAAC